UUGACUGCUGGUCAGGGCAACUGUGGGAGAGGAAGAUCACAGGUGAUGACAAGGGAUUACUGUGACUGGAUUUUCAGUAUGAUUUGAAGGUAAAGCAAGAAGGCAUCCAUCUACAAUCCAGGAAGAGGACUAUCACCAGAACUCCAUGCUGCUGACACCUUGAUCUUGGACUUCCAGCCUCCAGAACUUGCUGAAAGGCCACACAUGGUCUCUGAAGUAAGUAACACAGGAUGGAUAACAUUGAAAUACUGGAAGACAACAUCACGUAUAGCAGUGCUUUGUUAGGUCCUUAAAAAUCUACAAUUGCAAUUAUUACAUAGUAAAUGAAGCAUGAAGGUACUUGUACCUGACCCUA
Non-coding RNA from Callorhinus ursinus (northern fur seal), 355 nucleotides. NCBI's taxonomy places the organism in Eukaryota, Metazoa, Chordata, Mammalia, Carnivora, Otariidae. The record is from RefSeq and is a predicted model, not a curated record.